This 66-nucleotide transfer RNA is filed under the name Echinococcus ortleppi. Its description in RNAcentral is "tRNA-Tyr". Lineage: Eukaryota; Metazoa; Platyhelminthes; Cestoda; Cyclophyllidea; Taeniidae. The record is from RNAcentral.
ACUGAUUUAGCAUAUUUUUAAUGUGGCGGGUUGUAAACCCUUUGAAAUCUCGGAAGUUAAUCAGGA